Pan paniscus (pygmy chimpanzee) is the source of this 66-nucleotide microRNA precursor. The record is from Ensembl. NCBI's taxonomy places the organism in Eukaryota, Metazoa, Chordata, Mammalia, Primates, Hominidae.
GGUUGGUGCAAAAGUAAUCGCGGUUUUUGCUAUUACUUUCAAUGGCAAAACCACUAUUACUUUUGC